RNAcentral lists this ribosomal RNA (984 nucleotides) under uncultured organism. RNAcentral's name for it is "bacterial SSU rRNA". It matches the Rfam family "Bacterial small subunit ribosomal RNA", at positions 473 to 1470 of the family's 1533-position model. The record is from RNAcentral.
CGGUACCCUGGGAAGAAGUGUCGGCUAACUACGUGCCAGCAGCCGCUGUAAGACGUAGGACACAAGCGUUAUCCGGAGUUACUGGGCGUAAAGCGCCUGCAGGCGGCCUGGUAAGUUGGACGUGAAAGCACCGUGCUUAACGCGGGGAGGUCGGACAAUACUGCCAAGCUAGAGUGCGUCAGAGGGGAGUGGAAUUUCCGGAGUAGCGGUAAAAUGCGCAGAUAUCGGAAGGAACACCAGUGGCGAAAGCGACUCCCUGGGGCGCGACUGACGCUAAGAGGCGAAAGCUAGGGGAGCGAACAGGAUUAGAGACCCUGGUAGUCCUAGCCCUAAACGAUGGAUGCUAGGUGUGGGACGUAAAGUUCCGUGCCGGAGCCAACGCGAUAAGCAUCCCGCCUGGGGACUACGGUCGCAAGGCUAAAACUCAAACGAAUUGACGGGGACCCGCACAAGCAGCGGAGCGUGUGGUUCAAUUCGAUGCUACACGAAGAACCUUACCUGGGUUUGACAUGUACGUGGUAGAGAAGCGAAAGCGGAUUGACCCUUCGGGGAGCGUACACAGGUGCUGCAUGGCUGUCGUCAGCUCGUGCCGUGAGGUGUCGGGUUAAGUCCCGUAACGAGCGCAACCCUUAUCCUUAGUUGCACGUAUCUAGGGAGACUGCCGGCGGGAAGCCGGAGGAAGGUGGGGAUGACGUCAAGUCAGCAUGGCCCUUAUGUCCAGGGCUACACACACGCUACAAUGGCCGGUACAAAGGGCAGCAAAGUCGCGAGGCGGAGCGAAUCCCAACAAAGCCGGUCGUAGUUCGGAUUGCAGGCUGCAACUCGCCUGCAUGAAGCUGGAGUUGCUAGUAACCGCGCGUCAGCUAUAGUGCGCUGAUACGUACCCGGGUCUUGUACACACCGCCCGUCACGUCAUGGAAGUCGGUAACGCACUGAAGGCGGUAGCAUAGCUCGGAAGAGGGGGCGCUGUCGAAGGCGGGACUG